UGGGGAAUUUUGGACAAUGGGCGCAAGCCUGAUCCAGCCAUGCCGCGUGCGGGAAGAAGGCCUUCGGGUUGUAAACCGCUUUGUCAGGAAGGAAAUACUUCUGAGUUAAUACCUCGGGAGGAUGACGGUACCUGAAGAAUAUGCACCGGCUAACUACGUGCCAGCAGCCGCGGUAAUACGUAGGGUGCAAGCGUUAAUCGGAAUUACUGGGCGUAAAGCGUGCGCAGGCGGUUUUGUAAGACAGAGGUGAAAUCCCCGGGCUCAACCUGGGAACUGCCUUUGUGACUGCAAGGCUUGAGUGCGGCAGAGGGGGAUGGAAUUCCGCGUGUAGCAGUGAAAUGCGUAGAUAUGCGGAGGAACACCGAUGGCGAAGGCAAUCCCCUGGGCCUGCACUGACGCUCAUGCACGAAAGCGUGGGGAGCAAACAGGAUUAGAUACCCUGGUAGUCACGCCCUAAACGAUGUCAACUGGUUGUUGGGAAGGUUCCUUCUCAGUAACGUAGCUAACGCGUGAAGUUGACCGCCUGGGGAGUACGGCCGCAAGGUUG
This 547-nucleotide ribosomal RNA is filed under the name uncultured bacterium. RNAcentral describes it as "partial 16S ribosomal RNA". It matches the Rfam family "Bacterial small subunit ribosomal RNA", at positions 355 to 896 of the family's 1533-position model. The record is from RNAcentral.